CAACCCGGAGAACUGAAACAUCUAAGUACCCGGAGGAAUAGAAAACAAUAGUGAUUCCCCUAGUAGCGGCGAGCGAACGGGGACCAGCCCAAACCAACAUUGUUUCGGCAUUGUUGGGGUUGUAGGACGGACAUAAUCCGAUUCAAAGUCUGCAGAACCAUCUGGAAAGUUGGGCCACAGCGGGUGAUAGCCCCGUAUGCAGGUAGAGAUGAGGUGGACCGGAUCCUGAGUAGCGCGGAACAUGUGAAAUUCUGUGUGAAUCUGCCAGAACCAUCUGGUAAGGCUAAAUAUGUUGAGAGACCGAUAGUGAACAAGUACCGUGAGGGAAAGGUGAAAAGUACCCUGAAAAAGGGAGUGAAAUAGUACCUGAAACCUACUGUCUACAAGCGGUCGAAGCCUUCGGGCGACGGCGUGCCUUUUGCAUAAUGAUCCUACGAGUUACUCCUCUCUAGCAAGGUUAAGGGCUUCAGGUCCGUAGCCGAAGCGAAAGCAAGUCUUAAAUAGGCGCAUAGUUAGGGGGGGUAGACGCGAAACCUGGUGAUCUACCCAUGGUCAGGUUGAAGCCUCGGUAAUACGAGGUGGAGGACCGAACCCGGAGACGUUGAA
RNAcentral lists this ribosomal RNA (606 nucleotides) under uncultured bacterium. RNAcentral's name for it is "bacterial LSU rRNA". It matches the Rfam family "Bacterial large subunit ribosomal RNA", at positions 181 to 793 of the family's 2925-position model. The record is from RNAcentral.